Molecule: ribosomal RNA, 455 nt
Filed under: uncultured bacterium
Lineage: Bacteria
Description: bacterial SSU rRNA
Rfam family: Bacterial small subunit ribosomal RNA
Source: RNAcentral
GACGAACGCUGGCGGCGUGCCUAACACAUGCAAGUCGAACGGAGAGCAUUGUACGGAGACUUCGGUUGAAGAAUGAUGUAUCUUAGUGGCGGACGGGUGAGUAACGCGUGAGCAACCUACCUUUCAGAGGGGGACAACAGUUGGAAACGACUGCUAAUACCGCAUAACAUUGCGAGUGGACAUCCACAUGCAAUCAAAGGAGCAAUCCGCUGAAAGAUGGGCUCGCGUCCGAUUAGAUAGUUGGUGGGGUAACGGCCUACCAAGUCGACGAUCGGUAGCCGGACUGAGAGGUUGAACGGCCACAUUGGGACUGAGACACGGCCCAGACUCCUACGGGAGGCAGCAGUGGGGGAUAUUGCACAAUGGGCGAAAGCCUGAUGCAGCAACGCCGCGUGAGGGAUGACGGUUUCGGAUUGUAAACCUCUGUCUUCAGUGAUGAUAAUGACAUUAGCUGA